Nematostella vectensis (starlet sea anemone) is the source of this 72-nucleotide non-coding RNA. Lineage: Eukaryota; Metazoa; Cnidaria; Anthozoa; Actiniaria; Edwardsiidae. The record is from Rfam.
UCCCAUAUGGUCUUGCGGUUAGGAUUUCUGGUUUUCACCCAGAAUGCCAGGGUUCGACUCCCGUUAAGGGAA